Molecule: long non-coding RNA, 1626 nt
Organism: Prinia subflava (tawny-flanked prinia)
Lineage: Eukaryota; Metazoa; Chordata; Aves; Passeriformes; Cisticolidae
Exons: 3
Source: RefSeq, a predicted model, not a curated record
CAGUGUCACUUUGGGCUCUGUGCCAGGGUCCCAAACCCCCCUGUCAGGGUCCUAGACCCCUCUGCCAGGGUCCUGGACCAUCCAGGGCAGCCAGAGGGAUGCCCUGGACUCCAGCAGGGAUCCACCUUUAUUUGCCUGUUCCCUGCUCCACGGAAUUCUGUCUGAGGAGUGUUUGGUGUGUGCCCCUGCUGGUGGUGACAGUGACACUGGAAUUCCCUGCACAGCUCCAGCCUGGCAGGGCUGGCAGUGGGCACUGCCCUGCACCAGCCCCAUCUGAGCUCCCAGCAGGAGCAGCAAAUGGAUCUCAUCGAUUUCAGCUCCUUCCCCAGCUGGGACUCACAAAUUGCAGGAGGAGAGAGCUGGAAAAGCUGUUCCUGGGCUCCAAAGAGCAAUUAUUGAUUCCGAGGAGUAAAAACACACUCGGAGAAUUCAGGGGAAAACAAGGAAUCAAGGACACUGCGACAGUUUUAGCUGGGCCUUGCAGGUUUGGGGACUCUUGUGAGAUGUUUUACCUGUGCUGAGUCCAAGCAGUCUCAAGGUAAGUCCUGCUGCCACUAGUGAGGAAAUGUGACAACAAAAUGCACAAAAAUAACAAAAAUUGUUGCAAUCUUCCAUGAAUUUUGUGGAGAAAAGGAAGAGAGAAGAGAGGGAAUUAGGGAUCAAAAGUCAAAUUUAAGUGGAUGUGUUAUUAAUUGUCUAGACGUAGUCUUGAGUUGGAUGUCAAACAUCCAAGCCUGGAAAUACAGUCCUGUAGCAUUUUAUUUAAUAUUUAAAUCAACCUAAUUGGAAUUAAUUUUCAUAUAGAGACAGGCACUGAGUGUCUCUAGUGGAGAUGGAUUUUUCAUUCCUUUCUUUUUCCUUUCCUUUUCUUUGGUGAGAGAAUGACAUCAGUGCCUCAAAACUACAGGACUGUCAAGGGCCAUGAAAAACCUUUAUUUAAGCCGUGCGUGCUCCCGCAGGAAAUGUGUCUAAUCCUGGCUCCGUGACCUCCUUGGCACCUUUGGUGACUGAUGUCGCUGCAGCCCCAGGGAACAGAGCAACAACCAGGGGAGGUUUGCACAGGGUUUUGUUGGAGUGAGACCACUCUGUGAGAGAUAAAGCAGCAAUCCCCGACUUUAUUUACCCAGGGAUGGAGGCCUCAGGCACAGAGGAGUCGACUGCCCGGCAGAGCGGGCAUUUUCCUGGAGAAAUUCCCAAAGGUUCUGGAUUCUGUACUUGUGGAGGGCACUGAUCCCGCGGUGGGGGGACUCACAGCCCCUCUGGUGCCAGAUGAGAAAUUGUUUGCCCCCAGUGGGUUCAUACAAUGCUCAUUCUUCAAACCACUGGCCCAGGGAACCCAUAAUGCCCAUUCUGUUGGAAAAGAACUGGAAAGCAAACCAAGCCCAGUUGUGCCCAGUUUAACCAGUUCACCAAGGGCCAGGUGUGACUUUGGGGUCACCAACCAUCAGGGACCACAAAGAGACCCCAGGAGUGCGGAGCACUUGCGCAGAGGGAAAAUAUGGAAAUGAUUUUCAGGAAAUGAUUAUCAUAUGGAUGUUUAUUCCUGGAAAAUCAAUGGAUAUGUAUGUAAAAUAUAAUAUAAACCAGCUUUGUCUGUACUCAGCAGUCAAGAUAUUUUGGAGAAGA